RNAcentral lists this long non-coding RNA (256 nucleotides) under Lathyrus oleraceus (garden pea). RNAcentral describes it as "Pisum sativum (pea) long non-coding RNA (PSAT_LNC004614)". The record is from RNAcentral. Lineage: Eukaryota; Viridiplantae; Streptophyta; Magnoliopsida; Fabales; Fabaceae.
AAUUUAGUGUUAUGUUAAGAAAUCGUAAAGCAAUUCAUGUAGGAAUCAUCAUUUCUGAGUUCAGUCAACAAAACUUUAUGCGUUUAAGCAAUUUAUGAAGUUAAAUUGUAUUUUGAACUCCGAAAUUGCCAAGCAUCUUUGAAAAUCCAAUGGGACCAACAAAUAAAAAAAAAUUCUUUAAAAAUUUAAAAUAAAUCAAUUUAAUCAAUAAACAAUAAUAAUCAUAAUAGUAUUAAUAAUUGUAAUAAUAGUAAUA